Molecule: long non-coding RNA, 627 nt
Organism: Bombus huntii
Lineage: Eukaryota; Metazoa; Arthropoda; Insecta; Hymenoptera; Apidae
Exons: 2
Source: RefSeq, a predicted model, not a curated record
UUUUUUUUUUUUUUUUAUUUAUUUGUUGAAAUUACAAUCAAUUCUCGCGUUGGGAAUUUUCAGUAAUUUUUCUGGCGUGGCGCAGUGACAUGGCUGUUUAUUUACAAUAAUUAAUACUUAUUAUAGAUAGGUAUAAUUUAUAAGUAUUAUAAGUAAGUGCAUUAGCUUAAUUUGGAUAAUUAAAUGAAUCUAACGUUUAGGUCUAGCGGGUAGUGCCUCUUCAGCCUGCGAAUCUGGUCCGUCGUAUCGAGUAGUCCAGUGAUUAGGGGGUUUCGGUGUUUCUUGACUCUUUUGCUAUAUCUGUCGCUAUAUUUUGCUAUUUCCUCUUUGACUGUAGGUAUCUUGAGGUCGCGAUGGAUGGUUUCGUUGGUAACAUACCAAGGUGCGUCUAUUAAGGCUCUUAGCGUUUUCGAUUGGAAUCGUUGUAGUAUUUCGAUGUUGGAGUUACUUGCUGUUCCCCAUCGCUUCCUAUAUCCCUAUAUUCCGUACUUGCUUCGCUUGGUACUUUUAUAAUUUUCGCAGUUACAAUAAAAAAUUUAAUUCUUAACAGAUUAAAGAUUUAACCUCUUGCUUUAUAGUGUACAAUAAUUUUUUUUUUUUUUUUUUUUUUUUUUUUUUUUUUUUUUU